RNAcentral lists this long non-coding RNA (453 nucleotides) under Homo sapiens (human). RNAcentral's name for it is "HSALNT0124494". Lineage: Eukaryota; Metazoa; Chordata; Mammalia; Primates; Hominidae. The record is from RNAcentral.
AGUAGAGAUAUGGUUUCACCAUGUUGACCAGACUGGUGUCAAACUGCUGACCUCAAGUGAGCUGGCCACCUCAGCCUCCCACAGUGCUGGGAUUACAGGCAUAAGUCACUGCAUCCAGCCAAAUGUUUGCUGAAUUCUUACAGCCCCAGCAAUGUCCAAGGCUCUGGAGACACCGUGGUGGACAGGACACCAUCCCUGUCCUUAAGAAAGUUCCAGCUGCCACCUGGAGGAAGAAGUGACUGAGACCAGAACUGUGCCCACCAGCUGCCACACUUACCUGGCAAGGGCUCAGAGUCAAGAUACCCAACCCAGCUCAGCACUUCUCCCUGGACCUCUUCCAACUGCAUGAAGCCCUGGGUCCCUGGGUUGUUCACAGUUCGUUGUCUCCCGGUGUAGAAAAGUCUGUCAACCCUGCUUGGACAUCGCAAUCACCUGGGUAACUUUUUUUUUUUU